This is a non-coding RNA of Pelobates cultripes (western spadefoot toad), 222 nucleotides long. The record is from the annotation of a GenBank genome assembly. NCBI's taxonomy places the organism in Eukaryota, Metazoa, Chordata, Amphibia, Anura, Pelobatidae.
AAUCAAUCUUUAGAGCAGGUAUCAGCAAUCAGUUAAUUUAUUGCAUCUUAUCACCAGUUUGUAACUUAUCUCUAAUAAUGUACUUUUAGUGAUUGUUAUUGCACUUACUUUAUCUUUUUUUUUUUUACUCUUUUUGGAAAUGUUUCACUCUUUGUUGUAUUUUUUUGUACUUGGUAAGAUAAACUCACUCACAGUUUUUUCCGAUGUUAUUUGACACUCUGU